Molecule: ribosomal RNA, 503 nt
Filed under: uncultured bacterium
Lineage: Bacteria
Description: partial 16S ribosomal RNA
Rfam family: Bacterial small subunit ribosomal RNA
Source: RNAcentral
AUCGAACGCUGGCGGCAGGCUUAACACAUGCAAGUCGAGCGGGGUGAUGGUGCUUGCACUAUCACUUAGCGGCGGACGGGUGAGUAAUGCUUAGGAAUCUGCCUAUUAGUGGGGGACAACAUCUCGAAAGGGAUGCUAAUACCGUAUACGUCCUACGGGAGAAAGCAGGGGAUCACUUGUGACCUUGCGCUAAUAGAUGAGCCUAAGUCGGAUUAGCUAGUUGGUGGGGUAAAGGCCUACCAAGGCGACGAUCUGUAGCGGGUCUGAGAGGAUGAGCCGCCACACUGGGACUGAGACACGGCCCAGACUCCUACGGGAGGCAGCAGUGGGGAAUAUUGGAAAAUGGGGGGAACCCUGAUCCAGCCAUGCCGCGUGUGUGAAGAAGGCCUUAUGGUUGUAAAGCACUUUAAGCGAGGAGGAGGCUCUUUUGGUUAAUACCCAAGAUGAGUGGACGUUACUCGCAGAAUAAGCACCGGCUAACUCUGUGCCAGCAGCCGCCGUAA